UCUUGGUGAAAUUUUCUUUGU
RNAcentral lists this non-coding RNA (21 nucleotides) under Caenorhabditis elegans. The record is from RNAcentral. Lineage: Eukaryota; Metazoa; Nematoda; Chromadorea; Rhabditida; Rhabditidae.